This 117-nucleotide non-coding RNA is filed under the name Agrococcus carbonis. RNAcentral describes it as "SAM-IV sequence". It matches the Rfam family "SAM (S-adenosyl methionine) riboswitch aptamer". Rfam says of the family: SAM-IV is a mRNA element that regulates gene expression via direct sensing of S-adenosylmethionine (SAM or AdoMet). SAM-IV riboswitches share conserved nucleotide positions with the previously described SAM-I riboswitches sequence analysis and molecular recognition experiments suggest that SAM-I and SAM-IV riboswitches share similar ligand binding sites, but have different scaffolds. Lineage: Bacteria; Bacillati; Actinomycetota; Actinomycetes; Micrococcales; Microbacteriaceae. The record is from RNAcentral.
GCUCACGAGCUGCAGCCAUUCGGUACCUGGCCGGCUGCACGGCAACCCUCCUCCGCUGAGCGGGGUGCCCCAGGGGAAGAGCCGGCCCGGCGCACCCGCGCGGGGCAAGUCAGCGGG